Molecule: unclassified non-coding RNA, 148 nt
Organism: Macaca fascicularis (crab-eating macaque)
Lineage: Eukaryota; Metazoa; Chordata; Mammalia; Primates; Cercopithecidae
Rfam family: Metazoan signal recognition particle RNA
About the family: The signal recognition particle (SRP) is a universally conserved ribonucleoprotein. It is involved in the co-translational targeting of proteins to membranes.
Source: Ensembl
GUCGGGCAUGGUGGUGCAUGCCUGUAAUCCCAGCUACUUGGGAGACUGAGGAAGGAGAAUCACUUGAACCCAGGAGGCGGAGGUUGCAGUAAUACAAGAUUGUACCACUGCACUCCAGCCUGGGUGACACAGUGAGACUCUGUCUCAA